Oncorhynchus kisutch (coho salmon) is the source of this 10561-nucleotide RNA transcript. It is a transcript of the gene named zinc finger protein 696, with no coding region annotated. The record is from RefSeq and is a predicted model, not a curated record. NCBI's taxonomy places the organism in Eukaryota, Metazoa, Chordata, Actinopteri, Salmoniformes, Salmonidae. The transcript is spliced from 11 exons.
UUUCACAACAGCUCUGCGAAGCAUGAAUGCCCUAAUCUCUGCAGAGGCCAACUCAAAUAGCAGAUUUACCAUGCAGCGCCUUUAAGGCUAAGCAGUGAAUCAUUGCAUCUCAGGAAAAACUACAAGUCCCAUUCUGCAACCUGGAUGGUGUAUGACGCCAUGAUCUCUGCAGCUCGUUUGUGUUGGCUUUUUGCGGAGCGAGAAACGACGCGGAGAUGUCUGGGCUAAAGAAACCAACAUAGUUUUCUGCAGGGAAUUCGUUUUACAGACAUGGUUGAACCUCCAGUCGUGGCAGGAACCAAGUUGGUCAUGGAGCGCUUGACACUGCCAGUUGAGACAGUUGAACAAACAGUAGAAGUUGAGGAACAACCAAUACUUACAGGUGAACAAUACAUGGAAACGGAUGAACAAUACAUGGAAACUUAUGAACAACCAAUGGAGACAGGGUUACAACCAGUGGCAACUGAAGAACAACCAAUGAGUGAACUGCUACUUGUCACAGAAGAGGCUUCUGAGUGCGUCUCAGACCCCACGGCUUCUACAGAGAUAAUUCUUGAACUAUCUGCUGUUCCUCUAGAGUCUGCUGCUCCUGAAGAGCGGGAACUGGGCCAACCUGAGGAUGCACAGAAGGAGACCCAUGUGGAUGAUGUGGCCGCUAGUGACAGAAAAAAUAUUCCCCCCAAGAAGAACAGAAUGGAGCCACUCAAGAUGGACAUGUCUAGGCCACCAAAAAUGGUGACGCCGCUCACAUCUUCCCAGAUCUCUCUGCAGUGCCUGGAGUGUCACAUCAUCUUCAGCGACCACAAGAGCAAAGAGCGCCACCUCAAGCAGAGUCACCCGGCAGAGUAUGAGCAAUGCAUGCUGGGGGAUGCCCUGUUUGCCUGCUACGUCUGUGACCGCCAAUUCACUAACUCCAGUGACCUCAUGCUUCAUCAGCGUGCACACACGGAAAAGACACCCUUCAAGUGCCCCAUCUGUGGUGAGGCCUUCAGCCGUUCCUCUGAGCUCACCCUCCAUAAGAAGCUUCACUUCGGCCUGUACGGAUACACCUGCGCAGACUGUGGAAAACCCUGCAAGACACUCACCUUACUGAAGUAUCACCGCCGCACACACACAGGGGAGAGGCCCUAUGCGUGUAAGGAGUGUGGCAAGAGGUUUAGCAUGUCCAAGGCCCUCCAGAAACACGCACUAGCGCAUUCGCUGGAAGGAAUGAAAGAAGUUGUAGGGAUCACACCACCGAUGACGGCACAGCUAAAGAAGAAUAGUGGCACUGCAGUGGUAAAAUUUUCCUGCUCCGUGUGCAAGGCAACCUUCAAGACUGCCAAGACACGGCUGCAUCACAUGAAACACAAGCACAACCUGUGUGUUACAGCAUCCAGCAGCACCACACUAGCUGGCCAACAGGUGAAGCUAGGUCAGCCCAUCAUAACCCAGGUUCCUAUGGGCCAGCAAACCUUUCUCCACAUGGAACCCAUUGGGCCCUUCCAGCAGGUGGAAAACAUAGACACUGAACAAAUCCGGAAACUAAUAGAGUCUUUGGGGAACGUACGCAAAGUGAACCAGGUGGUGAUACUGGGACAGGUGCCGCCACACGGUCAACCAUUGGAUCUACAGCGGCUACAGGGAAAGAGAGAGCAUUUGCAACUCCGUUUUACUCAACCACAGUUUAUAGAGCUGAAAAAGAUUGGGGGUGGAGAGUUUAAGUUGAUGGGAUUGGAACAGGCAAAGCCACAAUGUGAAUCGCUGGAACCAAUUAUUACAUUGGAACCUGUAAUAUCAGAUGGACAAAUGGAGACCCCGUUACUUUCACACACACAGGAAGUUGCAUACGCUGUGCCAGCUGAGCAUGCUGGAUUAACACAAACACAUGAAGGAGAGAUGAUUCCUCAGCAGUUACUUGGACAGACUGGUCAGACAGUUGAAGAAGAGAACACUAUGAUUCAGACUGUAUCAGUGGAACAGGUGUUCUGUCACAGUGAAACAGUUGAGCUCGGGGAAACGACUGAACAAAGUCAAACUGUUGUGUUGGAAGUCACUCCUUCACUGUUACCAACUCUGGAAUUGGAACAGACUCAAACUGGUCAACAAGGACCUAUGUCUGCUUCCUCACUGCCAACAUUUCUAUUUGAACAGACUUCUGGACAGAAUCAAAGGGUUCAGGAGGGUAUGCGUGACGGGACAGACAUAUUUCCAACAGUGGCGUUAAAGCUGAUGCCAUUAAAAACUGACCAGCAGGAAGAACUCUCCACUUCCUCAUUGGUACCAACAGUUAAGUUUGCACAAACUCCUCCUGGACAAACAAGCCAGGUAGGAGAGACAGCCACACAGAUGGAGACAUUGCAGUUAGAGCAGAUCUAUUCCAGUAUUGGACAGACACAACAGACAGGAAUAGGACAGCGAAGAGCAGUUGAGAAACCUCUUCUAGAAAACACAGAGAAUGACCAGCAGCACAUUUUGGAAAAGCCUUAUGAAGGAAAGAAACAGACGGCACAAGAGCAGUUGCAGACACUGAUAGAUAAGUCUGUUUCUAACAACGCACUGAACAGCAGAGAGAUGCCUCGCACGCAGACGUCAGAAAUAUUCCCUCCGCUGUCCGAGACAAAGGCACCACAGAGUUUACAACUGCCUGUGCAUUUGAUGUCAGUACAAGAAUUUGUAAAAGUGAGGAAGAGAAAGCAACCGAAGAACUCUAUAGUGCAAGGAAAUAUGCAACAGCAGACGGUUGAGUUGAAAGGGAAGCCUGCCAAACGACCAAGAGCAAAGAAAGCUCAUCUUGUCGUGAAGUUUGGUCCUAAAGAAAAGCCUAAAAACCAGAAGAAGCUUCCACAACCAUCUAAGCUGCUUCAGAAAGGAGACCAGAUUCAGGAUAUGAAACAAAUGUCUCUCGCAACUCUACCUGAAAAGAAAUUGUCCUUAAAGGUUGGUAAAGAAAAAAAGGUCAAGAAGAAAACCGAUAUUUCCAAGUCAAAAAUCAAAUCCCCAUCUAUAUUGUGUGAACCACAUGUGCAGCAAGUCUUGCAGGUAGGCGAGCAGGUUCAGCAAGUGAAGCCGAGGAAGAAGAAAGUAAAAAAGCUAAAAUAUGUAAUUAGUGAGACUUUUGAGCAGAUUAGCGCUGAGCCGAUUAGCGAGCAAGAGGUGAUCGCUCCAUCCAAGCCAAAAAAGAAAAAGCAGCAGACGAUGGUGCAGGAGGACCAGCCUAAGAAAACAAAGGGGCAAAAGCUGUCAAAAACAGGGAGAAAGAAAAAGAAACCGAAUGUGGAAGCAAGCCCAAUAUCAGAAGAUAUGCCCGGCCCUAAAAUAAAGCAACAGUCUCUACUCCUACUGAAGGGUCACAAACAGCCCCAAUUGAAAGUUUACAAAUUAGAUGCCUCAAAAGCCCCCCAAGGUCAAACAGAUCUCCACAAAGACACCCAUCCCAUCCAUAAGAAGAAAGGGCCAAAAAGCAAACAACUAAAAAUGCUAGCUGCUGGAGGGAAAAAGAAAGUAGGGAGACCCAAAAAGAACCUCACAGCACUCUCUGUGUUGGCUCCUUUAAAGACUACGUCUCAUUCUUCUGACGCAUCUCUGACCAAGCCAAAAAUCAGCAGGAAACGUACGGCCCAAAAAGUGGAGACCGAGGGGAUCAUCAGUGGCUCUCAUUCCCGGCGAGCCCUUGAAUGUAAGGACUGUGGUGAGAGGUUCUCUGACGUCUCGUCCCUCCAGGAGCACAAGGCAGCCCUCCAUGCAGUGGAGAGCCCUGGUCUCACCUACACUAACGGCAACAUCUUUGAGGGCGUUUCUAGGUCAGAUCUAGGCCAGUCUCCACUAAAAGUGACAGAAGAGGUCAUUGACAAUUCAUUGAGUCAAAACGCAUUUGGAAUGCAGGUAGCAUCUGACUGGGAUAUGGAGGUGGAGAUGAGAGAGGUAGGGUUGGGAGAAAGAGGUGAGCGAGUCUCUUUCCCAGCCCUAAACACUUCCCCCUCUCUGCCUCUGGCUGCUGCGCUUGUUGAAGGUGGACAGAAGGGAAGGGAGAAGAACAUGCAUAAAAUUGCAGAGGGGAUGGAAUCAUUUUCUCAUAUGGCCCCAAAUUCAAAUAAAUCUUGCACCCCUCCACAAGUUCAAUUCCCAUAUCUGGCCAAAUCUGACAAGGUCCAACCCCUUCUGUUCGAGAGUCUUUCGCCUCCUCACCUCACACCCAGAGCCCCCCUCCACAGCUGUCACCAAACGGAGGACACUAAGUCAGAGAGUCAGGGCAGUAUGAAUGACACUGCCGAUGCUCUCAUACCUACCGUUUCUGGUUUUGAGCACCUAGGGCCUAUUGAGGAUGAAAUUAAAAAGGAGUUGCUACUUGAGGUGGAUUUGGUAACUGUUGGUGAUGGGGACCAAAAUGAGGGGGUACACCAGAGCUCACCUCAUGAAGACAGUUCACCAAAUGAGGGAUCCAGCCUUCAUGAAAACAACCGCACUCAUGCACUACCUGCAAAAGCUCAGAUUGGAAAUGUGAAUAGGACUGUAACAACACAAAAUGUACAGACUGAAUCCUGCCCCUCUGACCCACUGGAGAUCAAGCAAGAAGAGGAGGAGAUUAUGGUGCAGAGGAGAGAAGUGGAAAAGAGGGGAGUGGGAAGAAAGAAUUACACCAGGGGCAGGAAAAGAGGAGUUGGACGUGGGAGGAGAGGUUCAGCCACAAGGAAGGGUCUAGGAGGAGAGUGCAUGAGAGAAAUGGAACCAGAGAAAGAAACGGAUGAAUGUCAGGUAGUCUACCAGCUGUAUUCACUCAAUAAUGAUACUGAAAUCAAGGAUGAAGCAGACGUCACUACUCUCCAUCCUGGUCAGUCAUCUCCCAUCAGUUUACAGACCGAGAACAGAUCGAUCUCUGAGCAAAACAUGGUAACAGCUCCAUGUCCAUCUGGAUCCUGCAUCUCACCGCUUGAGGAGGACCCUGAGGACCAGGUAGUGUUUGAGCUAGAGUCAGUCACCACCAGUGUAGUGGAGGUGUUGAAGACCGAAGAUGGAAUGGUGAUGAAGGGAGUAGCAGGGGACCAGGACGACAGGGACACUGGCCAAUCCCCAGGCAUCAUACUGGAGAGGUUCCUCACCUCAAGGCAGAGCGAGGCAGCAGUGGGGGAGAAUGGAGUGGUGCUCAUGGCAGACUUGAGAGGUCAGGAGGUCAAGGUGGAGGAGAACACCUCCGAUUUGGUUCCCUUGCCACACACCUCUCGUGCCAGACACACAGUGGAGCAGAGGGGGGUCAGGAUGCAUCUUGUGAAGCAGGAAAACAACCUGGUUUUGAAUGAUCCCCAGGUUAGUCAAGGUCAAUCCCAAUUGAAUGUGGAGCAGAGCAGUACCAGGCAGUGCAUAUUCUACCCAGUGAAGGAGGAGCGGGAGCUUCUGGAGGAACCAUCUCGAAGUGAGCAGGGGGUACCAGCGCUGGUGGAGCCUGGAGAGGCCAGACUCGACCAUCCAGUGGAGACUCUAUCCACUACCAACCCUGCAGUAGAGGAGUAUGAGGUGAACAGGAGCACAGCAAAGUUUGGAUCUGAGAUAAAUGAGUAUGGAGAAGGUGAGCUGGACUUUGAGCAGCAAGAAACAGAGGAGCUUGUUGAUUUCCUACUUCAGAAUUCUGACGAAGUAGAGUCCGAGGUUGUUGAAUGUUCUGACCCUGAGGCUGUAGUUAUGGCCUGUUACCAUGACAGCCAAAGCCAUGCCUCACUGCAUUCAAAUUAUAUACCAUACAACUUGCCAACCACAGAAAGCCAGGCUCAUUCAGGAUCUAUGGGAGGGUCCCAGACAGGGACUGGCUACAGGAAACCAAUUGAUUACUUCUCCAAGUAUUUUGGUUGGGAUGCUUGGUCUGAGAUUGCCCGGUGCACAAAUAAAGUGUCCAAUCUGUCGAACCCAGUGACAGCAAAAGAGGUGGCCCAGUUUGUCGGAAUCCACAUUGCCAUGGGAACAUUGAAGUUCCCCAGUCUCAAGCUGUACUGGCAGGACUUCACCAGGGUGCCUCUGGUUGCUGACACCAUGUCUGCCUCCCGCUUCUCCCAACUCUCCUGCAAACUGCAACUGGCAUCUCCAGCGCCAGCAGGGGAUCCCAUGGACACCCAGGAAGCUGGACACAGUGGUAAUCCAGACAGGCCUAAGGAGGGAGACACCACACGCAACCCACUCCGAGCUUUACACACCCCAGCUAAUCCUACAGUUGGCACAACUAGAGGUGAACUGGAUGGCAGCGGCCACACACUUACACGCGGCCACAGUCAAAUACAAGCUCUUAGCUCCAAGUGUGUGUCUGCAAAAUCCACAACACAGACAUCCACAAUCCCUCACAGCAUUUGGCAGAGGUGUGGGGACAUACCAUCCAGCCAGGACUGUUUUAGUUUUAAAACUGACCCCCUUUGGCGGGUUAGACCGUUAAUGGACCACGUUCGGGCCAGAUACCUGAUGCUGAAAAGAGAGGGUGACCAUGGAGUCGAUCAAUACCCUCUCCCUUUGACGUGUAGAGCGGUCAACAACAAGCGGCCCUCCUUGCACAGCACUGUCUUAGUUAGAUCUGACGGUCUGAUCCUAGAUUUCAACCUUAGUCUGGAUCUCUCCAACAAAGAGACCACAGUUGAGAAAAUGGUGCCCAAAGAUGGGAUGGUGUAUCUCUGCAAGCAGGAGCUCUCUACCCCUGCCAUGUUGGAGCACCUCCUUGGGUCUGGGGUGCAUGGUGCGGGCAAGGUGGGAGGGGCCAAAGGACAGAUGGGUGAUGAGUUUGUUAGCUCUGACGGGCGGCUGAUGCUACACAGGUACCAUCUCGGCUUCAUCCUCUCUACUGUAGGGAAGGCCCAGCAGAACAUGGCAUCGCUCAUCGACAGCUUCGAGAAGGCCCAAAAGGCAGCCAGCCUCAAUAGAGACUUACUGAAUCUCUACCAUUCCCCACUCUCAGCCUCGGCACCAUCUAGCUGGCCACAGGCCGUUCUGUGGUACCUUACAGAUCUGGCUCUGGUAAACUCAUGGAUGCAGUACAGGCAGGAUCAUGUUCCUCUGCCUGAGCCUCUGAACCUCAUGGCAUUCAGGCUAGAGGUCUCCAAGGCCUUGAUCUUCUCCAGUGGCUCAGACACCCAGGACGCAGCCCCUCCGCACCCCCCUCAGAAAUUACACUCCCCGGGCACAGCCCCAGAUCCUGGCCUGUUACAGGAUAGUCCUCUCCCUGACAUGGCGAUGCGGUACGACGGUUCGGGCCACUGGCCGGAGCAGCUUGGGGAGGGAGAAGGUGGCAGGUGCUGCUUCGGAGGCUGUGAGCGAAUGUCUCGCGUACGAUGCCUCAAGUGUUGCGUGUUUCUCUGUAUCUCUCGUAACCACAACUGCUUCUUGAAUUUCCACAGUCAAGGGAGUUUUUGAAGCUGAUAAUAUUUGUUUUCCUUUUUAAUUGGUGCAUGUUUUAUUUAAUGCUAUGUUUAGCUUUUUUUAAAUUUAUUUUAAUUUUAGGUUAGAAGCUCUUAUUUCAUAAUUUUUCCCCCUACACCAUAGUUUUGAGUGCUUCUCUCUUUUCAGUAUCAGCUUCAGUCCUGUGCAGGAAAUUAAGAACUUGGUCACUUUUUAGCCUACUGUGUAAAUGUAAUCUUGAUGUAUGCAAUGGCUUUUGUUGUAUGAAAUUACCUACAAAAGAAAAUGUGAAUAGAGAAUUAAUGAUAAUCAUAAAGUCAAUGUCUCUGAAACCAAGUGAAAAUACAUUUUGAAGAUUUUUUUUGUUUGUAAUUCUCAUUUUUUUAAAUUCUCAUUCUGAACCUUGUUUUGUUGUUUACAUGCCAAUAAGCUUUUGCAUGUGUUUUUGGCGUUCUUUGUAAAUUGAAUAAUUGAGUUAUUUAAACUGUUGGAGCAAAUACAUGUACGUUUUCUAACAGUUUGGGUUGUGAAUUGUAUUGGUCUGCCUGCUGCUACCUGCUAGUCUCAAGGUACAUAAUUCACCGGAGUUAUUCAUCUAGUCUUUAGCUACAAACCGCAAAUUUAAUUCGAUUUACCAAAUCAACCGCACCCAAGCACAGACAAACACGUGUCUGCAUUUGCUCAGGUUUUUAGGGGAAAAGAGCAUAGACGCGUUCAAAAUUGAUUUUUUUGUUUGUUGAAGACUCAAAAUAUUGCCCUUGUCACGUGACAAGGGUCAAUUCAAUUUCCACAUUAACUUCACUGUACUGGAAGCGGUUUGAGGACAUCCAGUCUCCCAUGAUGGACUCAGACAUACUGAAUAUAGAGGAAAUAGUGAUGGGGAAGGGGCCACCAGAUCCCCCUGCAGAACUGACCACUGAGAAACCAGAACACUACAAACCCAUUGCCUCCUUCAAAGCACCACCUCCACCCACCAUUCAACCAUAUCAGCAUGAGAACCUGCAGUGUUUCCAGUGCUUCAUCACCUUCUGUAACUCCAAAGCCAAGGAGAGGCACAUGAAGAAGAGCCAUCGUGAGGAGUACAAGCAGCAGCUCCAGCAGGGAGAUACUCUGUUCACCUGCUAUGUGUGUGACCGUACCUUUCCGUCCUCGGAGGAGCUGACCCAGCACCAGGGCUCACACAACAAGGAGGACAAGCCCUUCAAGUGUCCCCACUGCCAGGAGAGCUUCCGCACCUUCUCUGAGCUGACGACCCACAGGAGACAGGUCUGUCCAGAGAGGCAAUUUGUGUGUAAGGACUGCAGUGAGACCUUCCGCAGCCCUGCCUUCCUUCGUACCCACCGCCUGGCCCAGCACCCCCGUCCAGAGGCUGAGGUGGAAGAGCCAGAUGACCCUACCAAGACCCACCGCUGUGGGAAGUGUAACCGGGGCUUCGAGACAGAGUCUGAGCUAAUAAUGCACCAGGAGAACCACGCCGGUGACCAGCACUGCAAUGGCAGCGCCUCGCCCGCCAAGAAGCGUGGACGGCCCUUUAAAGCAGAGGACUCAACGGUCGGAGGGAAGAAGAGAAAGAAGAAGGAAGAGGGCACAGAGGAGGCUGAGACUGGAAACAAUGCAGAGGAGGCUGCAGCAGCUCCGGCUGAGACCAAGGGGAAAGCAGGAGGCGGUGGCAGACGGGGCCGUCCUAAAGCAGCAGUAGGCGAGGAGGCCAGAGAAGACGACAGUGAAGCCCCAGCAGAGGAGAAGAAACCUAAAGCGGCUCCCGCUCCACCCAAGCAACACCCCUGCCCUGAGUGUGAGCUCACGUUCCCUGCCCUGGCCCAGCUCCGCGCCCACAAGAAGGAAAAGCACAUCCCACGUAAAGCCCACCCCUGCGAGGAGUGUGAUGAGAGCUUUGCCCGUCCCGAGCAGCUAGAAGCCCACAAGAACCGGGCACACAUCAAGGGGCGUUAUGCCUGCCCUACCUGUGGCAAGAGCUUUGGCCGAGAGAGCAACCUGAAGGGCCACCAGCAGAGCAGCCACCCAGAGGAGGAGGACAAGCAAGAGGCAGCGGGCCGCAGCAAGAGAUAAUUCAGAAUGGGGAAGGGGGGGAUUUUCUGUAAAGUGAUUGGGGGAGGGAGGACGAAGAAUCAGGGAUUUUUAAGAAUUUGAAUUUUGUCAAGGGUUUUUGUUGGUUUGAGGUUGGGUGUGAAAUUUAGAUCCUAAGUUUGAAGUGUUUCUAGAAAGUGAGAAAGACAGGUGAGGAAUUCUUUGCAGGAUUUUUAACAGGUGAGCUAAGGCAUCCCACUGAUAGUUCAGCAUUUGCCAUUUCUGGAUUGUGUUAGGAUGUUCAAGGCACACAUCACACUUGGAGUGACUGACUUACUAACCAAAAGAUGUAAGCUGUUAAAUCCAUCUGUUAUACACCUGUCUUAUCUGGACUAAGAACAACAAUAAUUAGUUUUGGGCAUCAUGUUUGUUCCAUUUGAUUAAUAUCUUUAAAUGAUUAUCAUGAUAAUGGAGUUACACCCCUAAAAAAUAAUGUAAAAACAGUAUGUAAAAUGCUUUUCAUGCUGUCUGACAAAUGGAGCUUUUCUUGUUUUAUGAUUUUUAUAUUGCUAAGUACGUGUUCUGUAGUAGCAGAUGAAAUGCAACAACCGUGCAUUUUAUAAAACCUGUUGGGGAUAUUUACUUUUUGAAAGAGCUUCUUGUGAUAAGUGAACAUGGAUUGGAAUGUUUGGGAAUUACAUAACGUCUCAUAGAAAUUGCAUCUAUUUAUAUAUGGUUUCUGGUGCAUUGUAAUGCUGAACUGUUUCUAGUAUGAUUAAUUUCUAAAUUAUACUGCUAUUAAAUGCGCAGGGUAUAAAAAAGAUCACUGUAUUUAUCCUCCUAAGUUAGUUUGGUUUAGGCCCAAUGGUUCUUUGGUUUCAUGCAUGGAUUUUAACAUGUCAUCCUAAACAAUGGUUGUAAUGAAGACUAAUAGACUCAAAUUAAGAUAAUCCUGCCACAAGCUACACCUUGUCACCUUUAUUUUGGAUUUGUUAUACUUAAUUUAAAUGUCAUAGAUAUUCUAAUGAACUUUCCAUAAAUUAUUUGCUUAAAUUUUGGCAUGAUGACGAAAUGACCAGAGGCCUGAAUGGACGUGUUCUUGUUUUCAUUAUUCUCCCCAUGUAACAUGCCUGGACACUCUGCCAAUAUGUAAUAAAGGUGCCCCAAGGGCUGCUACAGAAUGACA